This 444-nucleotide ribosomal RNA is filed under the name uncultured bacterium. RNAcentral describes it as "partial 16S ribosomal RNA". It matches the Rfam family "Bacterial small subunit ribosomal RNA", at positions 354 to 796 of the family's 1533-position model. The record is from RNAcentral.
GUAGGGAAUAUUGGGCAAUGGUCGGAAGACUGACCCAGCCAUGCCGCGUGCAGGAAGACGGCCCUCUGGGUUGUAAACUGCUUUUAUCUGGGAAGAAAAAGGCCAUGCGUGGCAAAUUGCCGGUACCAGAUGAAUAAGCACCGGCUAACUCCGUGCCAGCAGCCGCGGUAAUACGGAGGGUGCGAGCGUUGUCCGGAUUUAUUGGGUUUAAAGGUUGCGUAGGCGGCUGAUUAAGUCAGCGGUGAAAGACUUCGGCUUAACCGGAGCAGUGCCGUUGAUACUGGUGGGCUUGGGUGUCGGAGGGGUACAUGGAAUUGAUGGUGUAGCGGUGAAAUGCAUAGAUACCAUCAGGAACACCGAUAGCGAAGGCAUUGUACUGGCCGACAACUGACGCUGAUGCACGAAAGUGUGGGGAUCGAACAGGAUUAGAAACCCGUGUAGUCC